UUCUACAAGCAUGUCUAUUCUUAGCUCUGUUUUUGACAGUACAACACUGAGGUCAUACUCAGCAUUGACACUGUUUCUGUACUUGAGAACCCUGAAUUGCAUAGGUAUGUGGUGCCAAACUGGAUCAGAACAUCUACUGCUUUCUCAGUCAGGCAGGAGACCGCUUCCUGCUGCAGAUGAGCAACCCAGAACUGGUUUCUACAACAGUAGCAGCAGGCCCCUGUUCCACCAGAAGGUGAGACCUGGGACAACCCUCCCACCCGGUCUACCACCCCAGCCCCCUUCCUGGACCACAGGGGCCCACACGUUCAGACAUGGACCCCUCCACCUUCCACACUCACCUUCACUUGGGGAGCGGUGUUUUUUUAAAUGAAAUUGAUUUAACCAGGCAAGUCAGUUAAGAACAAAUUCUUAUUUACAAUGACGGCCUACCCCAGCUGAUGCAGGGUCAAUUGUGCACUGCCCUAUGGGACUCCCAAUCACGACUGGAUGUGAUACAGCCUGGAUACAAACCAGGGACUGUAGUGACACCUCUUGCACUGAGAUGCAGUGCCUUAGACCGCUGCGCCACUCAGGAGCGUUACAGCUCUACACCGUGCCCCCUGGCCUGCUUCCUAGGGUACCCUUCUUCUUUAUCUGCACUGGCCAUGGCAAGGUCUUCUGGGAAUGGUCCCACUUCAGCAGGGUCGUGUCACAGUUCCAAGAAGUGCUCUAUAUCACUGAGGAUACUACUCCAUCAUCGAACAAGGCUUGACCCCUAACCUCUGACCCCUGACCUCUCUCAGUCCAUCUUGUAGGAAUCAAAAUGUCCACUGACUGAAGUAGGCCUACUCUGCUGAUGACUGUCUUCACACCUAAUUUGCUGCUUUUCCAUUUUCCCCCCCAAAAAUAUUCCGUUGUUUCGUACGUCCCAAUGUUCUAAGGAGUCUUUUACUAUGUUAUUACAGUGGAAAUAAUUAAAGUUUUUAAGCCAUAUGUUAUUAUGAGUUUAAAUAUUUUUUACGUAGGGAUGGGUCAGGUUAAGAGUGUGGUCUACUGUCUGGGAAGUUUUUUUAACUGGCAUAUGUUUAAAGAAAUAUCAUUAUAUUCUUAUCACAUCAUCUUAAACCCCAUUUGAUUUGAACUACUUUUCCAUUAAGUGACAAGGGGGGUCAUACUGUUCUGCAUUCUGUGGCCUUCAUGCAGAAAAUGUUGCGUUUUAUUGUUGACUAUAUAAAAUAAGUUGUUUUAUAAAAAAAGAGAACAUCACUAUGGCGUUCCAUAUUAUUUUGGAAUGAUGG
RNAcentral lists this long non-coding RNA (1280 nucleotides) under Salmo salar (Atlantic salmon). RNAcentral describes it as "lncRNA (ENSSSAG00000096960.1, ENSSSAG00000110582.1)". Lineage: Eukaryota; Metazoa; Chordata; Actinopteri; Salmoniformes; Salmonidae. The record is from RNAcentral.